GUGGGGAAUCUUCCACAAUGGACGAAAGUCUGAUGGAGCAACGCCGCGUGAGUGAAGAAGGGUUUCGGCUCGUAAAGCUCUGUUGUCGGGGACGAAUGUGCAGUAUUUGAAUAAAGUACUGCAAUGACGGUACCUGACGAGGAAGCCACGGCUAACUACGUGCCAGCAGCCGCGGUAAUACGUAGGUGGCAAGCGUUGUCCGGAAUUAUUGGGCGUAAAGGGAGCGCAGGCGGGAAGGUAAGUCGGUCUUAAAAGUGCGGGGCUCAACCCCGUGAUGGGAUGGAAACUAUCUUGCUUGAGUGUCGGAGAGGAAAGUGGAAUUCCAAGUGUAGCGGUGAAAUGCGUAGAGAUUUGGAAGAACACCAGUGGCGAAGGCGACUUUCUGGACGAUGUCUGACGCUGAGGCGCGAAAGCUAGGGGAGCGAACGGGAUUAGAUACCCUGGUAGUCC
RNAcentral lists this ribosomal RNA (450 nucleotides) under uncultured bacterium. RNAcentral's name for it is "partial 16S ribosomal RNA". It matches the Rfam family "Bacterial small subunit ribosomal RNA", at positions 354 to 796 of the family's 1533-position model. The record is from RNAcentral.